This is a long non-coding RNA of Coregonus clupeaformis (lake whitefish), 513 nucleotides long. RefSeq lists it as uncharacterized. Lineage: Eukaryota; Metazoa; Chordata; Actinopteri; Salmoniformes; Salmonidae. The record is from RefSeq and is a predicted model, not a curated record. The transcript has 4 exons.
CACACACAAACACAGUCUGGGAGAGGAGGAGAAGCAACAGGAGCCAUCUGACACUGUGGGACGGGAGAAGGCUGUUACUAACUGUCCCUUGUCACCAUGUCGGACUGCGGAUGCGAGGGACUGCCUAUGGUGCUCCACAACGAGAGGCCGAUUGUGAUUUCUGUGCAUAAUGUGUCACUGAAUCUACUCUAAGCGGUGUCCUAUUCCAGAGGGGAACCUGAGUCAUCUAGUUUCUCCCGACAUGACAUCAGCAACAAAUGGGCAAGCCCAUACCACAGUCAUCCCAGGGCAAGAAACAAAGGAUGAGAAGGUUGAAGAGGUGCAAGAUAGAGGCAAAGGGGAUGAUCUGUCUUUUGAAAGAGGCCCAACCCCCUCUGUACUCGUCCACAGUCAGUGAAAGGCCGGGGCCGGGGAAGGCUGUCCAAGGCAUUAUCCAAACACUCACACGCACGCACACGCACACGCUCUCUCUCUCUCUCUCUCUCUCUCUCUCUCUCUCUCUCUCUCUCUCUC